This is a long non-coding RNA of Manacus vitellinus (golden-collared manakin), 145 nucleotides long. RefSeq lists it as uncharacterized. NCBI's taxonomy places the organism in Eukaryota, Metazoa, Chordata, Aves, Passeriformes, Pipridae. The transcript is spliced from 3 exons. The record is from RefSeq and is a predicted model, not a curated record.
AGAAAGUUUGUGCACUUGGAGAGUAAAAAGGACAGGGAUUAUUUUCUUGUUCGGGGACUGUACAGUUCCCAGGAAAACAAGGUUUUGGUCCAGGACUGGGACUCCUAAAUGUUAAGCAGGGGCCAAAGGCAUUCUACUGCAUUUG